UCGAGAAUUUUUCACAAUGGGCGCAAGCCUGAUGGAGCGACGCCGCGUGGGGGAUGAAUGGCUUCGGCCCGUAAACCCCUGUCAUUUGCGAUCAAACCUUGCUAUUUAAAAGAUGGCGAGCUGAUAGUAGCGAAAGAGGAAGGGACGGCUAACUCUGUGCCAGCAGCCGCGGUAAUACAGAGGUCCCAAGCGUUGUUCGGAUUCACUGGGCGUAAAGGGUGCGUAGGUGGUGGGGUAAGUCGGAUGUGAAAUCUCGGAGCUCAACUCCGAAAUGGCAUUGGAAACUACCCUGCUAGAGGGUCGGAGGGGGGACUGGAAUUCUCGGUGUAGCAGCGAAAUGCGUAGAUAUCGAGAGGAACACCAGUGGCGAAGGCGAGUCCCUGGACGACUCCUGACACUGAGGCACGAAAGCUAGGGGAGCAAACA
This 426-nucleotide ribosomal RNA is filed under the name uncultured bacterium. RNAcentral describes it as "bacterial SSU rRNA". It matches the Rfam family "Bacterial small subunit ribosomal RNA", at positions 355 to 774 of the family's 1533-position model. The record is from RNAcentral.